This is a long non-coding RNA of Wyeomyia smithii (pitcher-plant mosquito), 1010 nucleotides long. RefSeq lists it as uncharacterized. Lineage: Eukaryota; Metazoa; Arthropoda; Insecta; Diptera; Culicidae. The record is from RefSeq and is a predicted model, not a curated record. The transcript is spliced from 3 exons.
UACCUUUUCAUGGCGCAUUUUGACCCAUCUCGAAUAGGUUUAUUAAAAUCGUUUAAAUAAUUUGAUUAACAAUUUGAUCAAAUAGUUUUACGUUGGUUUUCGAAUACCAAUAACAGGAAAAGUACUUUACAGUACGAUAUGUUAGUUUUAUUAAACAAUCUUCAUUUUUUGACAUUUAAAGGAAAGCAGAAAGUAAACCGAACGUGCUAAGCUGGCGAAAACUCAGGAAAAAGUGUGCAAAGUUCGACAAAAAAAAACGAAGUCUCCGAUUGGAUGAUAGUGCACUACGGUUCCAUUCAACAAUAUUGCUCGGCAUUUUACGUCCAGCCUUAUGAAUGAAACCGUCUGGUAUUCAAACGGAAAAAAUCAACUUCUUGUCGGUGCAGUGGGUGGCUCAACCUGAUUCGACGUUUUAUCUUUUGUUUGGUGAGAUCAGAAGUGUGUUUAUAUAUUAAAACCAGUUUCAGAGCACUAUUUGCGACAUAGGCGAUUGCUAGGAGGCCAAAUGGGCCCAUACAACAUAACCUUUUUAUUAUCUUACCUUCGAGGAAAGAGUUGAAAAUUAUUUUAUUUUUGUUAUGAAAUUCAUCAGCAUCUAGAAACGACAUUUCAGCAAUCUUUGUCAGUCUCUGUGCAGACGUUUUUGGAAAACCUUCCAAAAACUGGUCGAUAAUUCUACUAAAUUUCUCAGCAAUUUGGUUGAAGUGUGUGGUACCGUUGUCAUCAUUGUAUUUUGAUGGAAACGAAAUUAUUUCAGCCAAUAACCGUUACUCCAAAAGGGAAUUCAGGCUACAUACGGUGGUUGCUCGGUUUAUUCUCCCCGAAUAAGAUAUUCGCAUUACGUUUUGAGGUUAUGGCACCGUGGGGGAACCAUUUCGCGAAUGCGGCCGCACGGCAUGCGGAUACCAAAUGGAUGCUUUUGGCGGCAGUGCAGAGAGUUUACAGAUAUGCAAAUAUUAUGACUGCUGAAUAACGUGAGUGGAUUAAAUUUAGUUGAUUUCCAUGGCGAA